RNAcentral lists this ribosomal RNA (301 nucleotides) under uncultured bacterium. RNAcentral describes it as "partial 16S ribosomal RNA". It matches the Rfam family "Bacterial small subunit ribosomal RNA", at positions 509 to 807 of the family's 1533-position model. The record is from RNAcentral.
CAGUAGCCGCGGUAAGACGGAGGGUGCUAGCGUUGUUUGGAAUCACUGGGCGUAAAGGGCGCGUAGGCGGCCUGUUAAGUCGGAUGUGAAAGCCCGGGGCUCAACCCCGGAACUGCAUCCGAGACUGGCAGGCUUGAGACCGGGAGAGGAGGGUGGAAUAUCCAGUGUAGAGGUGAAAUUCGUAGAUAUUGGAUGGAACACCGGUGGCGAAAGCGGCUCUCUGGCCCGGAUCUGACGCUGAGGCGCGAAAGCGUGGGGAGCAAACAGGAUUAGAGACCCGCGUAGUCCCUGUCUCUUAUAC